This is a non-coding RNA of Myriangium duriaei CBS 260.36, 114 nucleotides long. The record is from the annotation of a GenBank genome assembly. Lineage: Eukaryota; Fungi; Ascomycota; Dothideomycetes; Myriangiales; Myriangiaceae.
GGGAGGAUGGCCGAGUGGUUAUGGCGCUAGUUUCAGGCUUGGUUCAAAGCUAUCGCUGAAGAUCAUCAAAUUACUAGUUUCUUUGAUUCGUGGGUUCGAGUCCCACUCCUCUCA